CCCUUAGAUGUUCUGGGCCGCACGCGCGCUACACUGACGAAGUCAGCGAGCAUGUCCUACGCCGACAGGUGCGGGGAAUCUUGUCAAACUUCGUCGUGAUGGGGAUUGAUUAUUGAAAUUCUUGAUCAUCAACGAGGAAUUCCUAGUAAGCGCAAGUCAGCAGCUUGCGUUGAUUACGUCCCUGCCCUUUGUACACACCGCCCGUCGCUACUACCGAUUGAACGGUUUAGUGAGAUCUUCGGAUUGGCGCCACUGCGGCUCAGCAAUGGGCUCGGUGGAUGCCGAAAAGUUGAUCAAACUUGAUCAUUUAGAGGAAGUAGAAGUCGUAACA
This 331-nucleotide ribosomal RNA is filed under the name uncultured eukaryote. Its description in RNAcentral is "partial 18S ribosomal RNA". It matches the Rfam family "Eukaryotic small subunit ribosomal RNA", at positions 1470 to 1796 of the family's 1831-position model. The record is from RNAcentral.